CCGAUGGAGUGCUUGCAUUCCUGAGGUUAGCGGCGGACGGGUGAGUAACACGUAGGCAACCUGCCUGUACGACCGGGAUAACUCCGGGAAACCGGAGCUAAUACCGGAUAGGAUGCCGAACCGCAUGGUUCGGCAUGGAAAGGCCUUUGAGCCGCGUACAGAUGGGCCUGCGGCGCAUUAGCUAGUUGGUGGGGUAACGGCCUACCAAGGCGACGAUGCGUAGCCGACCUGAGAGGGUGAACGGCCACACUGGGACUGAGACACGGCCCAGACUCCUACGGGAGGCAGCAGUAGGGAAUCUUCCGCAAUGGACGAAAGUCUGACGGAGCAACGCCGCGUGAGUGAGGAAGGUCUUCGGAUCGUAAAACUCUGUUGUCAGGGAAGAACCGCCGGGAUGACCUCCCGGUCUGACGGUACCUGACGAGAAAGCCCCGGCUAACUACGUGCCAGCAGCCGCGGUAAUACGUAGGGGGCAAGCGUUGUCCGGAAUUAUUGGGCGUAAAGCGCGCGCAGGCGGCUUCUUAAGUCAGGUGUGAAAGCCCACGGCUCAACCGUGGAGGACCAUCUGAAACUGGGGAGCUUGAGUGCAGGAGAGGAGAGCGGAAUUCCACGUGUAGCGGUGAAAUGCGUAGAGAUGUGGAGGAACACCAGUGGCGAAGGCGGCUCUCUGGCCUGUAACUGACGCUGAGGCGCGAAAGCGUGGGGAGCAAAACAGGAUUAGAUACCCUGGUAGUCCACGCCGUAAACGAUGAGUGCUAGGUGUUGGGGAGUCCACCUCCUCAGUGCCGCAGCUAACGCAAUAAGCACUCCGCCUGGGGAGUACGGCCGCAGGCUGAAACUCAAAGGAAUUGACGGGGACCCGCACAAGCGGUGGGA
Molecule: ribosomal RNA, 876 nt
Filed under: uncultured Bacillus sp.
Lineage: Bacteria; Bacillati; Bacillota; Bacilli; Caryophanales; Bacillaceae
Description: bacterial SSU rRNA
Rfam family: Bacterial small subunit ribosomal RNA
Source: RNAcentral